This 253-nucleotide ribosomal RNA is filed under the name uncultured bacterium. Its description in RNAcentral is "partial 16S ribosomal RNA". It matches the Rfam family "Bacterial small subunit ribosomal RNA", at positions 524 to 776 of the family's 1533-position model. The record is from RNAcentral.
UACGGGGGGGGCAAGCGUUGUUCGGAAUUACUGGGCGUAAAGGGCUCGUAGGCGGUUUGUCACGUCGGGAGUGAAAACUCGGGGCUCAACCCCGAGCCUGCUUCCGAUACGGGCAGACUAGAGGUAUGCAGGGGAGAAUGGAAUUCCUGGUGUAGCGGUAAAAUGCGCAGAUAUCAGGAGGAACACCGGUGGCGAAGGCGGUUCUCUGGGCAUUACCUGACGCUGAGGAGCGAAAGUGUGGGGAGCGAACAGG